AGCGAACGCUGGCGGCAGGCUUAACACAUGCAAGUCGAGCGGGCAUCCUUGUGGUGUCAGCGGCAGACGGGUGAGUAACGCGUGGGAACGUGCCCUUCGGUUCGGAAUAACUCAGGGAAACUUGAGCUAAUACCGGAUACGUGCGAGAGCAGAAAGGUUUAUCUGCCGAAGGAUCGGCCCGCGUCUGAUUAGCUAGUUGGUAAGGUUACGGCUCACCAAGGCGACGAUCAGUAGCUGGUCUGAGAGGAUGAUCAGCCACACUGGGACUGAGACACGGCCCAGACUCCUACGGGAGGCAGCAGUGGGGAAUAUUGGACAAUGGGGGCAACCCUGAUCCAGCCAUGCCGCGUGAGUGAUGACGGCCUUAGGGUUGUAAAGCUCUUUUCUCCGGGACGAUAAUGACGGUACCGGAGGAAUAAGCCCCGGCUAAAUUCGUG
This 437-nucleotide ribosomal RNA is filed under the name uncultured bacterium. RNAcentral describes it as "partial 16S ribosomal RNA". It matches the Rfam family "Bacterial small subunit ribosomal RNA", at positions 29 to 507 of the family's 1533-position model. The record is from RNAcentral.